CUUGACUCUCUUUCUCAAGGUUGAGUUUGAGGUGGUGUUUGUUCAGUGAAUCUAUCCAGUCAAAACCAAAAUGUUGCCACAUCUGUUUUUCAUAUUACAAAAUGAUGAUAAAACUUGUCUUUAGAUAAAGUCCUACCAUGGCAUGACAAUCAAUAAUCCCAUGAAACCAUGUUUUGUGGGUUGAACAAUUUAAUGCAGUUCUCCUCGGAAGAAAGAACAUACCCUUAAAACUUGUCUUCACAACUCCCCUUUGCAUCCUGACAUUAAUUUCCAAUAUCUUGCCGAAACUUCCUUUUGUAAAGAUGUCAGUCAUUAUAAACUUCCUUGCUUCUCUAGUACUAGGGCCUAACAUCUUUUGUUGGUUAUGCCCUGUAUCAAAGUUCAAAGGCUCUGGUCUCCGAUUUCCCACUGCAUUUGACAUUCCAAUAUCUACAACACUAACUUGACGUAUCAGGUGGCAAAGAUAAGAGUAAUUUGUCUAUAGAAGAUGGAAACCAUGUAAAUUUUUGUGGUUGAGCCUCGCCUGGGAGUGGCAAUGAUCCUAGUAAUUUGUCUAUAGAAGAUGGAAACCAUGUAAAUAUUCAGGUUGGCUGCUCUGCGACGCGAUGAUCCUAGUACUUUUGUUUUGAGCAACUGCUUCAUACCGUCGUGGUGUUAAGAACCAACCAACAAUUAUAUGCUGUCUUGUAACACAUCAGUUUUGAGGGUGUCAAAAUCAGUUGAACAGGUCGACUGCUUUUAGCCUUUGUACAUUGCAAAGACUGCAACGCUGAUGAGGGUUAUUAAUAGGAACUGGCAAUUGACAGGUUACUGGUUUGACCGGGGGAAAACACAUGGUAGAUUGUGUACUUAGGAAUUUGACUUGUAUGUUUUUAGAAUGUUUUUGAAGUACAAUGUAAUCAAAUAUGAUAAUAUGAAUGUAAUCAAAAUUCUUGUUUGUGACU
Non-coding RNA from Phoenix dactylifera (date palm), 944 nucleotides. Lineage: Eukaryota; Viridiplantae; Streptophyta; Magnoliopsida; Arecales; Arecaceae. The record is from RefSeq and is a predicted model, not a curated record.